UUAAGCGACUAAGCGUACACGGUGGAUGCCCUGGCAGUCAGAGGCGAUGAAGGACGUGCUAAUCUGCGAAAAGCGUCGGUAAGGUGAUAUGAACCGUUAUAACCGGCGAUACCCGAAUGGGGAAACCCAGUGUGUUUCGACACACUAUCAUGUCAUGAAUACAUAGUGGCAUGAGGCGAACCGGGGGAACUGAAACAUCUAAGUACCCCGAGGAAAAGAAAUCAACCGAGAUUCCCCCAGUAGCGGCGAGCGAACGGGGAGGAGCCCAGAGCCUGAAUCAGUGUGUGUGUUAGUGGAAGCGUCUGGAAAGGCGUGCGAUACAGGGUGACAGCCCCGUACACAAAAAUGCACAUAUUGUGAGCUCGAUGAGUAGGGCGGGACACGUGGUAUCCUGUCUGAAUAUGGGGGGACCAUCCUCCAAGGCUAAAUACUCCUGACUGACCGAUAGUGAACCAGUACCGUGAGGGAAAGGCGAAAAGAACCCCGGCGAGGGGAGUGAAAAAGAACCUGAAACCGUGUACGUACAAGCAGUGGGAGCCUCUUAAUGGGGUGACUGCGUACCUUUUGUAUAAUGGGUCAGCGACUUAUAUUCUGUAGCAAGGUUAACCGAAUAGGGGAGCCGAAGGGAAACCGAGUCUUAACUGGGCGUUAAGUUGCAGGGUAUAGACCCGAAACCCGGUGAUCUAGCCAUGGGCAGGUUGAAGGUUGGGUAACACUAACUGGAGGACCGAACCGACUAAUGUUGAAAAAUUAGCGGAUGACUUGUGGCUGGGGGUGAAAGGCCAAUCAAACCGGGAGAUAGCUGGUUCUCCCCGAAAGCUAUUUAGGUAGCGCCUCGUGAAUUCAUCUCCGGGGGUAGAGCACUGUUUCGGCAAGGGGGUCAUCCCGACUUACCAACCCGAUGCAAACUGCGAAUACCGGAGAAUGUUAUCACGGGAGACACACGGCGGGUGCUAACGUCCGUCGUGAAGAGGGAAACAACCCAGACCGCCAGCUAAGGUCCCAAAGUCAUGGUUAAGUGGGAAACGAUGUGGGAAGGCCCAGACAGCCAGGAUGUUGGCUUAGAAGCAGCCAUCAUUUAAAGAAAGCGUAAUAGCUCACUGGUCGAGUCGGCCUGCGCGGAAGAUGUAACGGGGCUAAACCAUGCACCGAAGCUGCGGCAGCGACACUAUGUGUUGUUGGGUAGGGGAGCGUUCUGUAAGCCUGUGAAGGUGGCCUGUGAGGGUUGCUGGAGGUAUCAGAAGUGCGAAUGCUGACAUAAGUAACGAUAAAGCGGGUGAAAAGCCCGCUCGCCGGAAGACCAAGGGUUCCUGUCCAACGUUAAUCGGGGCAGGGUGAGUCGACCCCUAAGGCGAGGCCGAAAGGCGUAGUCGAUGGGAAACAGGUUAAUAUUCCUGUACUUGGUGUUACUGCGAAGGGGGGACGGAGAAGGCUAUGUUAGCCGGGCGACGGUUGUCCCGGUUUAAGCAUGUAGGCUGGUUGUCCAGGCAAAUCCGGAUAAUCAAGGCUGAGGUGUGAUGACGAGGCACUACGGUGCUGAAGUAACAAAUGCCCUGCUUCCAGGAAAAGCCUCUAAGCAUCAGGUAACAUUAAAUCGUACCCCAAACCGACACAGGUGGUCAGGUAGAGAAUACCAAGGCGCUUGAGAGAACUCGGGUGAAGGAACUAGGCAAAAUGGUGCCGUAACUUCGGGAGAAGGCACGCUGAUAUGUAGGUGAAGCGACUUGCUCGUGGAGCUGAAAUCAGUCGAAGAUACCAGCUGGCUGCAACUGUUUAUUAAAAACACAGCACUGUGCAAACACGAAAGUGGACGUAUACGGUGUGACGCCUGCCCGGUGCCGGAAGGUUAAUUGAUGGGGUUAGCGGUAACGCGAAGCUCUUGAUCGAAGCCCCAGUAAACGGCGGCCGUAACUAUAACGGUCCUAAGGUAGCGAAAUUCCUUGUCGGGUAAGUUCCGACCUGCACGAAUGGCGUAAUGAUGGCCAGGCUGUCUCCACCCGAGACUCAGUGAAAUUGAACUCGCUGUGAAGAUGCAGUGUACCCGCGGCAAGACGGAAAGACCCCGUGAACCUUUACUAUAGCUUGACACUGAACAUUGAGCCUUGAUGUGUAGGAUAGGUGGGAGGCUUUGAAGUGUGGACGCCAGUCUGCAUGGAGCCGACCUUGAAAUACCACCCUUUAAUGUUUGAUGUUCUAACGUUGGCCCGUAAUCCGGGUUGCGGACAGUGUCUGGUGGGUAGUUUGACUGGGGCGGUCUCCUCCUAAAGAGUAACGGAGGAGCACGAAGGUUGGCUAAUCCUGGUCGGACAUCAGGAGGUUAGUGCAAUGGCAUAAGCCAGCUUGACUGCGAGCGUGACGGCGCGAGCAGGUGCGAAAGCAGGUCAUAGUGAUCCGGUGGUUCUGAAUGGAAGGGCCAUCGCUCAACGGAUAAAAGGUACUCCGGGGAUAACAGGCUGAUACCGCCCAAGAGUUCAUAUCGACGGCGGUGUUUGGCACCUCGAUGUCGGCUCAUCACAUCCUGGGGCUGAAGUAGGUCCCAAGGGUAUGGCUGUUCGCCAUUUAAAGUGGUACGCGAGCUGGGUUUAGAACGUCGUGAGACAGUUCGGUCCCUAUCUGCCGUGGGCGCUGGAGAACUGAGGGGGGCUGCUCCUAGUACGAGAGGACCGGAGUGGACGCAUCACUGGUGUUCGGGUUGUCAUGCCAAUGGCACUGCCCGGUAGCUAAAUGCGGAAGAGAUAAGUGCUGAAAGCAUCUAAGCACGAAACUUGCCCCGAGAUGAGUUCUCCCUGACUCCUUGAGAGUCCUGAAGGAACGUUGAAGACGACGACGUUGAUAGGCCGGGUGUGUAAGCGCAGCGAUGCGUUGAGCUAACCGGUACUAAUGAACCGUGAGGCUUAACCUU
This 2902-nucleotide ribosomal RNA is filed under the name human gut metagenome. Its description in RNAcentral is "bacterial LSU rRNA". It matches the Rfam family "Bacterial large subunit ribosomal RNA". The record is from RNAcentral.